CUACGGGCGGCUGCAGUCGAGAAUCUUUCGCAAUGGGCGCAAGCCUGACGAAGCGACGCCGUGUGAGCGAAGAAGGCCUUCGGGUUGUAAAGUUCUUUCGCCGGGGAACAAGAAAGGGACGGUAAUACCGUUUUGAUUUGAGGGUACUCGGUAAAGAAGCACCGGCUAACUCCGUGCCAGCAGCUGCGGUAAUACGGAGGGUGCAAGCAUUGAUCGGAAUUACUGGGCGUAAAGGGCGCGGAGGCGGCAAGACAAGUCAGGUGUGAAAUUCCACGGCUCAAUUGUGGAACUGCAUUUGAAACUGUCCUGCUGGAGUGCAGUCAGGGAAAGCGGAAUUCCACAUGUAGCGGUGAAAUGCGUAGAUAUGUGGAGGAACACCGGUGGUGAAGACGGUUUUCUGGGCUGUUGCUGACGCUGAGGCGCGAAAGCCAGGGGAGCAAACAGGAUUAGAUACCCUUGUAGUC
Molecule: ribosomal RNA, 464 nt
Filed under: uncultured bacterium
Lineage: Bacteria
Description: partial 16S ribosomal RNA
Rfam family: Bacterial small subunit ribosomal RNA
Source: RNAcentral